AUGCAUGUCUAAGUACAAGCCGUGUUUACACGGCGAGACCGCGGACGGCUCAUUAAAUCAGUCGUGGUCCAUAUGGGCUAGAGUUAAUCCUACUUGGAUAACUGUGGUAAUUCCAGAGCUAAUACAUGCAACUCUUAUCCUGACGUAGCGCGGCUUAUCUCACGGUUUGUCGUAGCGCUGACGGAUGCUUUUAUUAGACCAAACCGCUGGGUGCGUGUUCGUGUUCAUUCGCGGAUGCGUACCACUCGUUUAAUGGUGACUCUGGAUAACCUUAUUGACAAGCGCACGUACUCCUCGUGGGACGGCGCUGCCACUUUCGAGUGUCUGCCUUAUCAGCUAUCAACCGUUUGUUACGUGCACACGAUGGCUUUGACGGGUAACGGGGAAUCAGAGUUCGAUUCCGGAGAGGCAGCCUGAGAGACGGCUACCACGUCCAAGGACGGCAGCAGGCACGCAAAUUACCCAAUCCCAGCACCUGGGGGAGGUAGUGACGAAAUCUAACGAUGCGGGCGCCCUUUCUGGGGCCCCGCAAUCGGAAUGGCCACUUUCUAAACAACCUGUUGAGAACCUACUGAAGGGCAAGUCUGGCGCCAGCAGCCGCGGUAAUUCCAGCUUCAGUAGCAUCUAUUAAAGUUGCUGCGGUUAAAAGGCUCGCAGUUGAAUGUCAGUAUCGAGCGCAGGUCAGGUGGACGCUGGGGCGUGAACAUCCAAGGCGCUUCGCUUGUGUCGAUUGCGGACGUGCGUGUGUGC
RNAcentral lists this ribosomal RNA (750 nucleotides) under Hirondellea wagneri. RNAcentral's name for it is "bacterial SSU rRNA". It matches the Rfam family "Eukaryotic small subunit ribosomal RNA", at positions 51 to 726 of the family's 1831-position model. Lineage: Eukaryota; Metazoa; Arthropoda; Malacostraca; Amphipoda; Lysianassidae. The record is from RNAcentral.